GUGAGUAAUGUAUCGGAACGUACCUUUCAGUGGGGGAUAACGUAGCGAAAGUUACGCUAAUACCGCAUAUUCUGUGAGCAGGAAAGCAGGGGAUCGCAAGACCUUGCGCUGAUUGAGCGGCCGAUAUCAGAUUAGCUAGUUGGUGGGGUAAAGGCCUACCAAGGCAACGAUCUGUAGUUGGUCUGAGAGGAUGAUCCGCCACACUGGAACUGAGACACGGUCCAGACUCCUACGGGAGGCAGCAGUGGGGAAUUUUGGACAAUGGGGGCAACCCUGAUCCAGCCAUGCCGCGUGAGUGAAGAAGGCCUUCGGGUUGUAAAGCUCUUUCGGCCGGGAAGAAAUCGCAUAGGUUAAUACCCUGUGUGGAUGACGGUACCGGAAUAAGAAGCACCGGCUA
RNAcentral lists this ribosomal RNA (397 nucleotides) under uncultured bacterium. Its description in RNAcentral is "bacterial SSU rRNA". It matches the Rfam family "Bacterial small subunit ribosomal RNA", at positions 106 to 499 of the family's 1533-position model. The record is from RNAcentral.